This 490-nucleotide ribosomal RNA is filed under the name uncultured bacterium. RNAcentral describes it as "bacterial SSU rRNA". It matches the Rfam family "Bacterial small subunit ribosomal RNA", at positions 28 to 507 of the family's 1533-position model. The record is from RNAcentral.
AACGAACGCUGGCGGCGCGUUUUAAGCAUGCAAGUCGAGCGGCAGGGGGGCCUCGGUCCCCCGAGAGCGGCGGACGGGUGAGUAACACGUGGACAACCUGCCCCCCGGUUCGGGAUAGCCCAGGGAAACCUGGAUCAAUACCGGAUGCGAGGGCGGCCGCACAAGCGGCCGUCGGGAAAGGCGCUUCGGCGCCGCCGGGGGAUGGGUCCGCGUCCCAUUAGCUAGACGGUGGGGUAACGGCCCACCGUGGCGAUGAUGGGUAGCCGGCCUGAGAGGGUGGACGGCCACAUUGGAACUGAGACACGGUCCAGACUCCUACGGGAGGCAGCAGCUAAGAAUCUUCCGCAAUGGGCGAAAGCCUGACGGAGCGACGCCGCGUGAACGAAGAAGGCCGUGAGGUUGUAAAGUUCUUUUCGGGAGGGGUAACGAGGCUGCCAGGCAAUGGGCGCCGAUGACGUGAAUCCCGGAAUAAGCCCCGGCUAACUACGUG